UCAAGCGAACAAGGGCGCAGGGCGAAUGCCUUGGCACUGGGAGCCGAUGAAAGACGUGAUAAGCUGCGAUAAGCUUCGGGGAGCUGCAAAUAAGCAUUGAUCCGGAGAUUUCUGAAUGAGGAAACUCACCUGGGUUCAUACUCAGGUACGUUAUACUGAACUUAAAAAUAGGUAUAUCGAGGGAACCGCCUGAACUGAAACAUCUAAGUAGGGCGAGGAAGAGACAUCAAACGAGAUUCCGUAAGUAGUGGCGAGCGAACGCGGAAGAGGGCAAACCGGAAGUAGAAAUACUUCCGGGGUACGGACUGCUUUUAGGACUUAAUCUGUUAACCGAACGGCAUGGGAAGGCCGGUCAGAGAGUGUGAGAACCACGUAGGUGAAAACGGAGAGAGCUGCGCAGGAUCCAGAGUACGGCCAGACACGUGAAACCUGGUCGGAAGAUGGGGGGACCACCCUCCAACCCUAAAUACUACCCAGUGACCGAUAGCGUAUAGUACUGUGAAGGAAAGGUGAAAAGCACCCCGGGAGGGGAGUGAAAAAGAACCUGAAACCCUGUGCCUACAAGCACCUAGAGCACGUCAAUGUGUGAUAGGGUACUUUUUGUAGAACGGUCCGGCGAGCGAUUGUAUGCAGCAAGGUUAAGGACUUAAGGUCUGGAGCCGAAGCGAAAGCGAGUUUGAAAAGGGCGUUAAGUUGCAUACAAUGGGCCCGAAACCGGGUGACCUACCCAUGGUCAGGUUGAAGUGGAAGUAAAAUUCCAUGGAGGACCGAACCGACCUCCGUUGAAAAGGCGGCGGAUGAACUGUGGGUAGCGGAGAAAUUCCAAUCGAACCCGGAGAUAGCUGGUUCUCCCCGAAAUAGUUUUAGGACUAGCCUCAAGUUAGAUACCUGGAGGUAAAGCACUGAAUAGCCUAGCGGCCGAGAGGUUAGCGAAGCUUAUCAAACUCAGAAUGCCAGAGUAUUGAUGCUUGGGAGUCAGACAGUGUCAGAUAAAUGUCAUUGUCAAAAGGGAAACAGCCCAGAUCUACAGCUAAGGUCCCAAAGUCAGGUUAAGUGGAAAACGAUGUGAAGAUACGCAGACAACCAGGAUGUUGGCUCAGAAGCAGCCACUCAUUCAAAGAGUGCGUAAUAGCUCACUGGUCGAGCGUCUUUGCGCGGAGAAUUUAACGGGGCUAAACCUGACACCGAAGCUUAGGCAAUACAGCAAUGUAUUGGGUAGGGGAGCGUUGUAUACGCGGUGAAACAGUAGCGCAAGCGGCUGUGGAGUGUAUAGAAGUGAGAAUGCCGGAAUGAGUAGCGCGAAUGCAGUGAGAAUCUGCAUGGCCGAAAGCCUCAGGUUUCUGGAGGAAGGUUCGUCCGCUCCAGGUUAGUCGGGAGCUAAGGUGAGGCCUAACGGCGUAGCCGAUGCACAGACGGUAGAGAUUCCGUCACCACCAAAAGAGUUAAACACAGGGACACAUUUGAAGUCUCGGAGCCGGGUGUUGGUUCCGGUAGCGAUCGAGGGAAGUUAGUACCGAAGUCCGGGAUGGAAGAUGGCGAGAAAAGCUGUGUGUAUUUCUGCGGUGCCCGUACCGCAAACCGACACAGGUAGGUAGGAAGAAGAUUCUAAGGCCAACGGGAGAAGGGUUGUUAAGGAACUCGGCAAAUUGACCCCGUAACUUCGGGAGAAGGGGUGCUCCAGAGAUGGAGCCGCAGAGAAUCGGCCCAAGCAACUGUUUACCAAAAACACAGGUUUGUGCUAAAUCGAAAGAUGACGUAUACGAGCUGACGCCUGCCCGGUGCUGGAAGGUUAAGAGGAGAUGUGCAAGCAUUGAAUCGAAGCCCCAGUGAACGGCGGCCGUAACUAUAACGGUCCUAAGGUAGCGAAAUUCCUUGUCAGGUAAG
This 1884-nucleotide ribosomal RNA is filed under the name human gut metagenome. RNAcentral's name for it is "bacterial LSU rRNA". It matches the Rfam family "Bacterial large subunit ribosomal RNA", at positions 3 to 1980 of the family's 2925-position model. The record is from RNAcentral.